GUUGUGGCUCAGUGGUAGAGCGCUUGCUUAGCGUGUGUGAGGACCUGGGUUCGAUCCUCAGCACAAUA
Molecule: transfer RNA, 68 nt
Filed under: Marmota monax (woodchuck)
Lineage: Eukaryota; Metazoa; Chordata; Mammalia; Rodentia; Sciuridae
Rfam family: tRNA
About the family: Transfer RNA (tRNA) molecules are approximately 80 nucleotides in length. Their secondary structure includes four short double-helical elements and three loops (D, anti-codon, and T loops).
Source: Rfam by way of RNAcentral